RNAcentral lists this unclassified non-coding RNA (185 nucleotides) under soil metagenome. Its description in RNAcentral is "partial internal transcribed spacer 1". The record is from RNAcentral.
CCGAGUUUACAACUCCCAAACCCAAUGUGAACCAGUACCAAACUGUUGCCUCGGCGGGGUCACGCCCCGGGUGCGUCUAAAGCCCCGGAACCAGGCGCCCGCCGGAGGAACCAACCAAACUCUUUCUGUAGUCCCCUCGCGGACGUAUUUCUUACAGCUCUGAGGCAAAAAUUCAAAAUGAAUCA